GCGGACGUGGUGAAAUCGGUAGACACAACAGACUUAAAAUCUGUCGGCCAUAGGUCAUGCGGGUUCAAGUCCCGCCGUCCGCA
This 83-nucleotide transfer RNA is filed under the name Phyllobacterium bourgognense. RNAcentral describes it as "tRNA-Leu". It matches the Rfam family "tRNA". From Rfam's summary of the family: Transfer RNA (tRNA) molecules are approximately 80 nucleotides in length. The record is from RNAcentral. RNAcentral also lists the same sequence under 2 other names. Lineage: Bacteria; Pseudomonadati; Pseudomonadota; Alphaproteobacteria; Hyphomicrobiales; Phyllobacteriaceae.